RNAcentral lists this small nuclear RNA (127 nucleotides) under Ursus americanus (American black bear). RNAcentral describes it as "U4 spliceosomal RNA (ENSUAMG00000023088.1)". It matches the Rfam family "U4 spliceosomal RNA". From Rfam's summary of the family: U4 small nuclear RNA (U4 snRNA) is a component of the major U2-dependent spliceosome. The structure of U4 snRNA from yeast and human has been reported. The record is from RNAcentral. Lineage: Eukaryota; Metazoa; Chordata; Mammalia; Carnivora; Ursidae.
AGCUUUGCACAGUGGCAGUAUCAUAGCCAGUGAGGUUUCUCUGAGGCAGAGUAUUGCUAAUUAAAAACUAAGCAGAAGAAAUGUCAUCAGAUGUAAUGAAAAAUGUUAGAAGCGUUAACCCUGUACC